GACGAACGCUGGCGGCGUGCUUAACACAUGCAAGUCGAACGGUAAGGCUCCAGCUUGCUGGGGUACACGAGUGGCGAACGGGUGAGUAACACGUGGGUGACCUGCCCUGCACUUCGGGAUAAGCCUGGGAAACUGGGUCUAAUACCGGAUAGGACCAUGGUGUGGAUACUGUGGUGGAAAGUUUUUUCGGUGUGGGAUGGGCCCGCGGCCUAUCAGCUUGUUGGUGGGGUAAUGGCCUACCAAGGCGGCGACGGGUAGCCGGCCUGAGAGGGUGGACGGCCUCAUUGGGACUGAGACACGGCCCAGACUCCUACGGGAGGCAGCAGUGGGGAAUAUUGCACAAUGGGCGGAAGCCUGAUGCAGCGACGCCGCGUGGGGGAUGACGGCCUUCGGGUUGUAAACUCCUUUCACCAUCGACGAAGGGUUUCUGACGGUAGAUGGAGAAGAAGCACCGGCUAACUACGUG
This 466-nucleotide ribosomal RNA is filed under the name uncultured bacterium. RNAcentral's name for it is "partial 16S ribosomal RNA". It matches the Rfam family "Bacterial small subunit ribosomal RNA", at positions 28 to 507 of the family's 1533-position model. The record is from RNAcentral.